CCUACGGGAGGCAGCAGUGAGGAAUAUUGGUCAAUGGGCGCGAGCCUGAACCAGCCAAGUCGCGUGAGGGAAGACGGUCCUAUGGAUUGUAAACCUCUUUUGUCGGGGAGCAAAAGACGCCACGCGUGGCGUUCCGAGAGUACCCGAAGAAAAAGCAUCGGCAAACUCCGUGCCAGCAGCCGCGGUAAUACGGGGGAUGCGAGCGUUAUCCGGAUGUAUUGGGUUUAACGGGUGCGCAGGCGGAAGAUCAAGUCAGCGGUAAAAUUGAGAGGCUCAACCUCUUCGGGCCGUUGAAACUGGUUGUCUUGAGUGAGUGAGAAGUAUGCGGAAUGCGAGGUGUAGCGGUGAAAUGCAUAGAGAUCACGCAGAACACCGAUUGCGAAGGCAGCAUACCGGCGCUCAACUGACGCUCAGGCACGAAAGUGUGGGUAUCGAACAGGAUUAGAUACCCGGGUAGUC
RNAcentral lists this ribosomal RNA (459 nucleotides) under uncultured bacterium. RNAcentral describes it as "partial 16S ribosomal RNA". It matches the Rfam family "Bacterial small subunit ribosomal RNA", at positions 338 to 795 of the family's 1533-position model. The record is from RNAcentral.